AAAUUAUCGCUGAAGGCUGAUGUGUACGCAGACGGUAGCAGACAAGGUAGUUCCGGUUAACGAGCGGAGCUUUGGAAGGUGUUAAAUCUGCAAUUGACUGGCAGCUGGUCCAAGGUAUUAUCCUGUCUUCUGGCUCAAUGUGGAUUGCGAUGGACGUGCACCCUGAACCCUGAAUAAGCAGCUCUUGCCGAGUAAAGGAAUGAAGUUUGAUGCUCAGCCCGCGAAGAUUCCUCUAGACUGAAGCAGGAAAAGACGGGGAAAAGGAAUGUCUUCUGGCAGGUAUGAUUGUACGCCAACACAAUGUUAUCAUCCGGACACAGUUUUGUUGAACAUUUGGAGAAAAUCAUUUUGCUCGAUCUUUGACUGUCUGCUGGGCUGUGAGGCAGCUGUUGGGAGACUCACCACCUGGUGAGCAGCUUUGAAGUACACUUUGAGGAUUAAAUUAUUCAUUCAGGGUGGCAACAUGUAUCCAGCUUGCCUCAGACUGUGGAGACGAUUUUGCCUCCUGCAGCUCAGCUUUACCGGACACUCUUUUAGCACACCCGGAUUCACCCCACUUCAUGAAAAUCCAGACUUUUCGUAAAAAAUCCAAAGUCUUUGUAGACAAGACGUAGUAAUAAAAGAGAGCAUAGUCUCCCGCAGUCAAAAUUGAGAUUGUGAUGAUUAUAAGCAUGAUAAAAUAAUAUUGUACAUGAAAUGUUUUAUGAUCUGUGGCCUUUUCAGUGUGUCUGCAGGAUGUCCCAGUUUUGAAAAUGAAUGGGUCCAACAGGAGGCUUUGACUUUAAAAGGAAUCCUGCUUCAAUGAAAAUUAAGUAGGAUAUCCAGCUCUAAAAAAUAUAUUUCAACUGUUAUUUUGACUUUUAAUGGAGCUCCAGCACUUUGCAGAUAAAUCUUUGUGUUCACAAAGGUUUGAGGCUACAAAUAGAAAAAGCAAUUUAGAUUUUAUUAAUAAUGUGGGUGACUGACAGGAAAUUAAAAUGGGCUUGGACUGUGACAAGGAGACCCUGUUAAAAAAAAAAGAAAAAAAAAAAGAAAACAAUUGUGCCAUUACUGAAUAAGUUACUUUGUUUUGAUGGUCUGCACAUCACUAAGUGUUCAUUUCUUUGUAAGAAAUGCUGUAGGAAUGAAUGAAUGAAUAAAUGUAGAGAAAUGCUAUAUGCCUGGUUUCCUUAUAACUUGUUGCUAUGUUACCGCACUGAAACAGUCGUUAUUGGCUUUCUGACCAUGUUGCUUUGAGCAUGAUUGGUUAAUAUGACUGUCAUGCAGGAA
Seriola aureovittata is the source of this 1269-nucleotide long non-coding RNA. RefSeq lists it as uncharacterized. The record is from RefSeq and is a predicted model, not a curated record. Lineage: Eukaryota; Metazoa; Chordata; Actinopteri; Carangiformes; Carangidae. The transcript is spliced from 4 exons.